Molecule: long non-coding RNA, 1522 nt
Organism: Acanthochromis polyacanthus (spiny chromis)
Lineage: Eukaryota; Metazoa; Chordata; Actinopteri; Pomacentridae
Exons: 6
Source: RefSeq, a predicted model, not a curated record
CUUUAGUUAAUAAUAACAACUAAUGUCAGACAUACAAUAACCUACUGUCCUUGAUUUUUAAAGACAAAAAACAGUUAUGAAACUGAACACAAGUUUCACUACCAUGCAGAAUGUUGAGGACUCGUUCAUUUCAUAUUAGCAAAAUUAAUCUCAGUUUAAGCCCCAAGUAGUUUGAAGUGCUGAGGUGAGUUACUGCAUUCACUCUUUUCAAUCACAUAACAUGAUUAUACGCAUUUGGGGCAAUCGGCUUCAACUGUACUUUACUUUUAGUGCAAGCAGCAACUUCUAGCACCUGACUGCAGCCCGCAGAUCGGGGCGUGCCUCAACGUGGGCGGAGUUAAACGUUGAGCUCCGCCCACCUUGAACUAAACGUGGGCGGAGUUAAACGUUUAACUCCGCCCGCAUAGCGCAGUUGAACCGUUGAAGAAGAAGAAGAAUGUAUUAGAGAAGAAGAAGAAGUUUCCAAAAUGGAGAGAAUAGAGCACGUGUUUGCUGCAAACAGCCGCGUCAUUGCCACAUGGUUUCCACCAUCAUCCACAAACCCCAUGGAUCACCUGCCAGUAAUUUGUUAAAAAGUUUUGCUUUUGUAGUGGAGUUUGAGCAUUUCAUAUUCAGUUAUUGAUAUCUUUUUACAGGACAAUGCAGCCAGUCUCCAGUGGGUUCUGCUUCCUAUUUGUACCUGGACACUGGAUACUCUGCACAUUGCUCACAUCUCCUGACCCUUGGAGGCAGCUUGGUGUGAAUGAUGUUCAGGAAAACAUGCUGCAGAUUAGAAGAUGGUGGUGUCUUGUUCUCCUGCAGAACUUCCCCAUGCUAUCUGAAGAAGAGAGAUUGCAGCAAAGAAAAAGGCAACAAGAGCAGAAAAAACUACAGUAUGUGGCUGAAGUCCCCCUGAAAAUGUUUAGGCUUUCAGAAUCUGCCACUGAAGCAUCAGGUAUUGUUCCAGCCAGCAUUGUCUCACACAUAUCCAUCAAGGUUGUUGAGGUUCGAUGUCACAGAGCAGUCAUUAUUUCUCUGUGUACUUAAAAUCAACCACUUAAAUCUUGCAUUGUCAUUGUGCCUGUAGACACCACAAUCUGUUUCCUUUCUAGAUGAGGCUGAGAACAGGACUGGGAACAGGAAACGGGGUAUAUUGCCUGAGAUGGGUAGUCUAAUUUCAGUGUUUUCUGCAAUCUCCGAGCCUUUACUUAAAUAACUGUUUUCUUUAUUUUUGUUUAGGAGAAUCCUUUGAUCAGGGAUGCAAUGGCAGCAGCCCGGUGGUGUGGGACCAGAACUUUCAAGGGAAAAAUUUCCCUUCCCCAAGUUGUUACCAUGGCCAAGGAGCAACGCGUGAGGGCAGGGAACUCCUGUGUGUCUGUGAUGGCCAGGAAGAAGAGGAGACCGCUGAUCUCAGAGAACCGUUCCUUUUUCUUUUUAGUCUGCAGGAAGACUAUGAGACAUUCUGUCAAGAAAUCAUUGACAGGAGAAACAUGAAGGUGUUUUGUGCUUUUGACAGAAAAGAAUAAAGUUGUGUUCAACGGUG